RNAcentral lists this ribosomal RNA (253 nucleotides) under uncultured bacterium. RNAcentral describes it as "partial 16S ribosomal RNA". It matches the Rfam family "Bacterial small subunit ribosomal RNA", at positions 524 to 776 of the family's 1533-position model. The record is from RNAcentral.
GACGAACCGUGCGAACGUUAUUCGGAAUCACUGGGCUUAAAGCGCGUGUAGGCGGCUCGGUAAGUCCGCUCUGAAAGUCCGGGGCUCAACCCCGGGAGGCGGGUGGAUACUGUCGAGCUCGAGUCCGGAAGAGGCGAGUGGAAUUCCUGGUGUAGCGGUGAAAUGCGCAGAUAUCAGGAGGAACACCGAUGGCGAAGGCAGCUCGCUGGGACGGUACUGACGCUGAGACGCGAAAGCGUGGGGAGCAAACAGG